This 76-nucleotide transfer RNA is filed under the name Salmonella enterica subsp. enterica serovar Orion. RNAcentral describes it as "tRNA-Asp". It matches the Rfam family "tRNA". From Rfam's summary of the family: Transfer RNA (tRNA) molecules are approximately 80 nucleotides in length. Their secondary structure includes four short double-helical elements and three loops (D, anti-codon, and T loops). Further hydrogen bonds mediate the characteristic L-shaped molecular structure. tRNAs have two regions of fundamental functional importance: the anti-codon, which is responsible for specific mRNA codon recognition, and the 3' end, to which the tRNAs corresponding amino acid is attached (by aminoacyl-tRNA synthetases). tRNAs cope with the degeneracy of the genetic code in two manners: having more than one tRNA (with a specific anti-codon) for a particular amino acid; and 'wobble' base-pairing, i.e. permitting non-standard base-pairing at the 3rd anti-codon position. The record is from RNAcentral. Lineage: Bacteria; Pseudomonadati; Pseudomonadota; Gammaproteobacteria; Enterobacterales; Enterobacteriaceae.
GAUGGUGUAGCUCAGUGGUAGAGCGGUUGACUGUCAAUCAACUGGUCGGUGGUUCGACCCCCCCCCAUCAUCGCCA